Mytilus californianus (California mussel) is the source of this 952-nucleotide long non-coding RNA. RefSeq lists it as uncharacterized. The record is from RefSeq and is a predicted model, not a curated record. The transcript has 2 exons. NCBI's taxonomy places the organism in Eukaryota, Metazoa, Mollusca, Bivalvia, Mytilida, Mytilidae.
AUGAGAUAAUCUCCUUGAUAAUUUUAACCUUUGAGGAACAUUUCAAUCGUGUAUUAUUAUAACUUUUUUCGUUCAACUUUAAUUGAUGAAACAUAAUAAACAAAUAUAUACAGAGUGAUAUUUGAUACAACCAUUCUGUUAAUCAAACACAUUCUGAUAAGGUUAACCAGAUGUUGGACACAUUUCAAAGAUAGUUGCUAUGGUAAUUAAGAUUAUAGAAAAUCUAAAUGUAAUGGGAUGGUCAUCUUUGAGGUUAUUUCCUGUCGUCUAUUUGUAACUUCCGAAAGCAGUGAAAACAAAGAAAACUAAAAGAGAAAAUUACAGUUCAAAGAGAAAGAAACAUGUAAGUUGUAAUUUUAAAAAAUCGUAAUUGAUAUACGGACUCGACUGAAUCUUGUUUUUUUGUCCUCGGCAAAACUUUGGCAACACAAAAUCUGUAUUUGAAUAGUUUGUAGGAGUAAAUAUCACAAAAAGUUGAAGACGCUACUUCUUUAAAUUAUAUGUAUGCAGGGUUAUAAUAAAACAUUAGGAUAUCAUGGAAAAGUGAAAAAGAUAUAUUUUAAACAAAAUGAAAUGGCAUGUAUAUGUAAAAAAAGGGGGUAAAAUGUGAAAAAAAUAUCAUACGGAAAAAGUCUAUACAAAUUUGCAGACAGAUUCGUGUAUGAAUUACUUGAAGUAGAGUUUCUUUUUAAUAUACAAUUUUACAUUCUCAUAUAAAUUUAUAGAUCUGGUAUUUGAGAACUACAGAAGACAAAUUAAAGCAGAGUGCAGAAGGAAUUUUAAUAAUCAUUGAUAAUAUUCUGGCUUCAAAAUGCAUGGAAAUGGAGAUGGGACAAAAUGCAUUCUACCAUUUGAUAGCCCAGAAUGAAUUACUUUAAAAGGCUAACAAGAAGAGGAGGCUCGCAGUAGAAGAUACAGACUCUGAAUAAUUAAUAAAAUGUUAAAAUGCUAA